CACGUAGGGCGCGAGCGUUGUCCGGAAUUAUUGGGCGUAAAGAGCUCGUAGGUGGUUUGCUACGUCCGCUGUGAAAACCUAGGGCUUAACCCUGGGCUUGCAGUGGAUACGGGCAGACUAGAGGUAGGUAGGGGAGAAUGGAAUUCCCGGUGUAGCGGUGAAAUGCGCAGAUAUCGGGAGGAACACCGGUGGCGAAGGCGGUUCUCUGGGCCUUACCUGACACUGAGGAGCGAAAGCGUGGGGAGCGAACAGG
RNAcentral lists this ribosomal RNA (253 nucleotides) under uncultured bacterium. RNAcentral's name for it is "partial 16S ribosomal RNA". It matches the Rfam family "Bacterial small subunit ribosomal RNA", at positions 524 to 776 of the family's 1533-position model. The record is from RNAcentral.